CAAUUACAACAAAGGACAAUUACAUAUUUACAGAAACAAUGACAGGAGAAGGUAACAGGAGAAUUUCCCAAUUGACAACCAACCCCAACAAGAACAAUACAAUAAAAAAGCAAAUAUCCAGUUUUUAGAAGUCGGACUGUAUCUGAAUCCAACUACGGCGGUGUGUACGUUUGCAGCCUGUUCGAAAAAUAUCCAUGCAGUUUUGAUUUAAAAAUAGAAACGGACUGGCAUUUUUUUAAAUCAUGUGGUAGAUUGUUCCAUAGAUUGUUCAAUAACUCUUGGAAAAAAAGAGUUUCUGUAAUAGUUUUGCUUAUGGUCAGUUAUUAUUUUAAGAUUGUUCGG
Molecule: non-coding RNA, 342 nt
Organism: Paramuricea clavata
Lineage: Eukaryota; Metazoa; Cnidaria; Anthozoa; Malacalcyonacea; Plexauridae
Source: the annotation of a GenBank genome assembly